CGGACGGGUGCGUAACGCGUGGGAAUCUGCCUUAUAGUGGGGGAUAGCCCAGAGAAAUCUGGAUUAAUACCGCAUAAUCCCUACGGGGGAAAGCUUGGGAUCUUCGGACCUGGCGCUACUAGAUGAGCCCGCGUUAGAUUAGCUUGUUGGUGGGGUAAUGGCCUACCAAGGCGACGAUCUAUAGCUGGUCUGAGAGGACGACCAGCCACACUGGGACUGAGACACGGCCCAG
Molecule: ribosomal RNA, 232 nt
Filed under: uncultured bacterium
Lineage: Bacteria
Description: partial 16S ribosomal RNA
Rfam family: Bacterial small subunit ribosomal RNA
Source: RNAcentral